Molecule: non-coding RNA, 73 nt
Organism: Triplophysa dalaica
Lineage: Eukaryota; Metazoa; Chordata; Actinopteri; Cypriniformes; Nemacheilidae
Source: the annotation of a RefSeq genome assembly
GUUUCUGUAGUGUAGCGGUUAUCACAUUCGCCUCAAACGCGAAAGGUCCACGUUUCGAAAACGUGCAGAGACA